Molecule: long non-coding RNA, 390 nt
Organism: Octopus sinensis (East Asian common octopus)
Lineage: Eukaryota; Metazoa; Mollusca; Cephalopoda; Octopoda; Octopodidae
Exons: 3
Source: RefSeq, a predicted model, not a curated record
AGGCGCCACCAGAUUCCUGCGCAGCAACGUGGUCCACGGGAUUAUCCUUUCUAAUGCAGCUGGUGACACUGAUACACCUAAAUCAACUUUAGAAGUACCAUGUGAGACUACAUGAUCACCAGCAGCAUAGUUUCCAGUAUUUAUCCACUGGGAAUACCGUGCAGAGAAUUACUCCAUUCUCAAUUCAUUGGUUAACGAAUUGGCCAUCAGGGAAGUUCUGUUUCAAGAAGUUUAUCAUGGGAGCCGAAUUCGUAAUCAGGCGAAUGAGUUAGAAGCUGUUUGUUUCUAAGGGCAGGAGCCUACUGUCUGAAAAACCAAGAUGGCCACAUAUACAAGCAUUCAUACUGAUACUAAACCAACUGACAAAAUGUUAUACAACUUAGAAAAUGG